GACGAACGCUGGCGGCGUGCUUAACACAUGCAAGUCGAACGGUGAACUCCGCUUUCGGGGGGAUCAGUGGCGAACGGGUGAGUAACACGUGGGCAACCUGCCCUCAGCUCUGGGAUAACUCCAAGAAAUUGGGGCUAAUACCGGAUAUGACCGCUGACCGCAUGGUCUGGGGGUGGGAGGUUGUAUCGGCUGGGGAUGGGCCCGCGGCCUAUCAGCUUGUUGGUGGGGUAGUGGCCUACCAAGGCGACGACGGGUAGCCGGCCUGAGAGGGUGACCGGCCCCGCUGGAAUUGGGACACGGCACGGACUCGAAUGGGAGGGAGCGGUGGGGAAUAUUGCGCAGUGGGCGGGGGCCUGGCGCAGCGCAGCCGCGUGGGGGAUGACGGCCAUGGGGUUGGAAACCACUGCCAGCAGGGACGAAGCGAUAGUGACGGUACCGGGAGAAGAAGCACCGGCUAACUACGUG
RNAcentral lists this ribosomal RNA (465 nucleotides) under uncultured bacterium. RNAcentral's name for it is "partial 16S ribosomal RNA". It matches the Rfam family "Bacterial small subunit ribosomal RNA", at positions 28 to 507 of the family's 1533-position model. The record is from RNAcentral.